GCCAGGUGUGGUGGGUCACGCCUGUAAUCCCAGCAGCUUGGGAGGCUGAAGCAGGAGGAUCACAAGUUCAAAGCCAGCCUCAGCAACUUAGCAAGGCCCUAAGCAACUCAGUGAGACCCUGUCUCAA
RNAcentral lists this small RNA (127 nucleotides) under Marmota monax (woodchuck). Lineage: Eukaryota; Metazoa; Chordata; Mammalia; Rodentia; Sciuridae. The record is from RNAcentral.